UACGAAGGGGGCUAGCGUUGUUCGGAAUUACUGGGCGUAAAGCGCGCGUAGGCGGAUCGCUAAGUCAGGGGUGAAAUCACAGGGCUCAACCCUGGAACUGCCUUUGAUACUGACGAUCUGGAGAUCGGGAGAGGUUGGUGGAAUUCAGAGUGUAGAGGUGAAAUUCGUAGAUAUUCGGAGGAACACCAGAAGCGAAGGCGGCCAACUGGCCUGAUACUGACGCUGAGGCGCGAAAGCGUGGGGAGCAAACAGG
This 253-nucleotide ribosomal RNA is filed under the name uncultured bacterium. Its description in RNAcentral is "partial 16S ribosomal RNA". It matches the Rfam family "Bacterial small subunit ribosomal RNA", at positions 524 to 776 of the family's 1533-position model. The record is from RNAcentral.